RNAcentral lists this ribosomal RNA (229 nucleotides) under uncultured bacterium. Its description in RNAcentral is "partial 16S ribosomal RNA". It matches the Rfam family "Bacterial small subunit ribosomal RNA", at positions 568 to 796 of the family's 1533-position model. The record is from RNAcentral.
UGCGUAGGCGGAAUAUUAAGUCAGUGGUGAAAUCCUGCGGCACAACCGUAGAACUGCCAUUGAUACUGAUAUUCUUGAAUGUAGUUGAGGUAGGCGGAAUGUGUAAUGUAGCGGUGAAAUGCUUAGAUAUUACACAGAACACCGAUUGCGAAGGCAGCUUACUAAACUAUGAUUGACGCUGAUGCACGAAAGCGUGGGGAGCGAACAGGAUUAGAUACCCUGGUAGUCC